This 71-nucleotide small nucleolar RNA is filed under the name Myotis lucifugus (little brown bat). RNAcentral describes it as "Small nucleolar RNA SNORD112 (ENSMLUG00000023776.1)". The record is from RNAcentral. Lineage: Eukaryota; Metazoa; Chordata; Mammalia; Chiroptera; Vespertilionidae.
UGACCCAACUAUGACAGUAUGUCAUGAACCAAGAAUUAAUAUUGAUUCAGUUCUGUGCAUCUGGGAUCCUU